Molecule: long non-coding RNA, 3935 nt
Organism: Oncorhynchus masou masou (cherry salmon)
Lineage: Eukaryota; Metazoa; Chordata; Actinopteri; Salmoniformes; Salmonidae
Exons: 3
Source: RefSeq, a predicted model, not a curated record
GCAACGAUCGCGAUAUUCAGUGUGUAUGUUGUAAAUAAUCCUGGGGGGGGGGUUCAUGUACCAGUAUGACAAUUAUGUACACAGAGCAGAAGCAGAGAAAACAUUCAGAUAUCCUUUAGAUUUUUGUGUUAAAGAUCCACGAUGAGAAAGUUGUAUCAUUUGGUCAACGCGAUGGAAUCCGAGUGGGCAAUGCUGUCCAUCAAUGGAUUGGACGUCAACGGUAAGUUCACGGCAGAUGGGAAGGAGAUCAUCGAAUACUUGAACGACUCAACAAACUAUCUAUCCGUUGUCCAUACUGAAGGGCUCGCAUGAGCUCCAAUGAAAAACUGUUGAUGGCUUCAAUGUUUCAUUCGUAAGUAGUUACACUUCUCGUAAGUAGGUACACUUCUCAGGUGAUUACAACUGUCAGCUCUGACAUUAAUAAAUCCUUUGGUCUAUGGUUACAUUUGCUUUUCCAUGAUCUUGCUACAUGUUGUGUUGUACUUUUCCUAGGUUGUUUGCUAUUGGUUCACAGCUGUCCCCUGAAGUUGGCAGUACAGGAAUUGUAUUGCUGGAGACAGAUAUGUUCAAACGGCACUGCUUUCAUACACUCGCUGGUAUAGAGUUCAUUGUGCUGACAGACCCCCGGCAGUCUGGCAUUGAUGCACUCCUGGGGAAGAUUUACGAGAUCUAUUCAGACUUCACCCUCAAGAACCCCUUCUACUCUUUGGAGAUGCCUAUCAGGUAACUUUCACAUGUCAAAUAUCUGCCCUCUGUCACAUGAGUCUCUAUCAGUUAUCCAUUUCAUUGAUGAGCAAUCAUGGCAAGAUAUAUAUUGCCCUCUCUUGUUACAGGUUUGAACUCUUUGAUCAGAUUUUUAAGGUUGCAUUUGAGAUACCAGCUUUAUCUGCUAACUUUGGACCUGGAUCUUGAGUAGGAACAAGGAUUAAUUGCUCCUGAAAUGUUGUUGUUGUUGAACCAAUCAUUGAAUUGUGUUUGUUAUGACUGGGAAGCUACAGUACAAGCAUAUGGGUCAACAUGUCUCCAAGCAGUGCUGCUAUUUCAGAACUAAUGUUUUUUUUUUUUUAACUAGCAAGUCAGGUAAGAGCAAAUUCUUAUUUUACAAUGACGGCGAAACCCAGACGACGCUGGGCCAAUUGUGCGCCGCCCUAUGGGACUCCCGAUCACGGCCGGUUGUGAUACAGCCCGGGAUCGAAUCGGGGUCUGUAGUGAUGCCUCUAGCACUAAGAUGCAGUGCCUUAGACCACUGCCUUAGACUGCUGUGCCACUCAGGAGCCUUGAUUAACUUGUAUAUGAUACGGAUAUGUUCUACUGGGAUACAAUGUAAAUACAGAUUUGAAAAACAAAAUUGUACAUACUUUAAGAAUGAACACCACUAUGUAAUGUUUUCAUAUCUCAUCUCUCUUUUCAAUGCAAUCCUUUAGAAGUAAAGAUAAGCACAACAUAAGGUAUUUUAUUCAAGUCUUUUAUCGAAUCAAAAAGAUUGCACCCAUAUAAGGAGAUGUGUCAAGUGCCAUUUUCAGUAAUGAACCGUACAUUAAAGUGCCUUGGUUUCGAAUGAUAAGAUUAUGCUCAAAUUAAAAUCAUAUUGACACACAUUUUCAAUAAUUAAAUCUUAGAUUUAUUUUAAGCCAUGAGCAUUGAAAAUAGUUUUAAGUAGCACAACAUAGUUGAUGUACUUGCACCUGAAUACUGUCUUAAUACAUCUUCAGUGAAAAUAAAUAAUCCCUGGAUCAACUCCAUGUCUCACCAUCUCUUAAAACAAGAAUAUACAGAAUGAUGUCUCCUGUCAAUUCCAAAACACUUCACAAAUAAGAAAAUGUACAUUCUUAUCCUAAGUUUCCCAUAUUGGCAACAGAGAGUUAUGAGGUGUAAUAAUCAGUCCGCCUUCCUUGGGAUGUGACCCAUCUUGGUUCUGAUGUUCCUAAGCAAGAAGAAGCUGAUGGUAGUGACGAGACAGGUGAUCUCUGCUACCCAGAAGGCCAUUUCCCAGCCGUGGUGCUUGGCGAUGGUGCUGAAUGGCAGUCCAGAGCAGAAGCCACCAACUGAUAACAAUACAGGGAUGUCAAUUAGGCUGGUUCUCAUAAAUAAUAGGAUAUACAGAUUUAGUCAUUGAACUACAUGUCUGGUACUGCUAGUAAAGCCAAGACAUUACACAAAAAUGUGUGAAAAGCAUUCAUUAGAAUUUGAGACAUUUAGGUUGAGAUUAGUGCAACGAUAGCAUGUGAUGUUCCACAAUAGUUUGAAGGAGCACUCUCUUUGGCUAUCACGCCAAACAAGGCUAUUGGUCCGUAAGAUGAGAAGCCAAAAGUAGCCCCCAAGAAGAAGAUCCAUAUCAAUUUAUAACAUAAAAAAGAAAGACUGAUAGUGUACUGGCUCUGAAAGGAGAUUUGAGGAACACAAUGUCUUUACUAUACCUUGGCUGUCUGGAGUGACAGUGACCCAGAAUAGAUACAUGGAACCAAAUAUCCCAGCCAUCAUGGAGAUCAAGAGAAUUUUUAGAAUUUUACUAGGCAAGUCAGUUAAGAACAAAUUCUUAUUUUAGAUGAUGGCCUAGGAACAGUGGGUUAACUGCCUGUUCAGGGGCAGAACGACAGAUUUGUACCUUGUCAGCUCAGGGAUUCAAGCUUGCAACUUUUCGGUCACUAGUCCGACGCUCUAACCACAAGGCUACCCUGCCGACGGGGGUUUCCAUGGCUUUGUACAGCCUGGCUGUACAAAAAUGAAUAUAGUACCUAACAAACACUGCUUUGAUUUUUUAUAGAUCUCUGAAUUAAUGUAUGAUGCCACUGUCAACCCACUUGUGCCACAGCCUUGUCAGUGAAGUAUCCUGCAGCUAAACUGCCCAACAGGCCUCCAACCUCCCAGGGCACUCAUGUAGGAACUGCCUGUGAAAAAGAGCUGCAUUCAGGCAAACCUAACAAGAAUCAAUUAUUAUUGAGUUAUCAACAGUAAGCUAUUGCACACUAGUAAAACAGGCAGGUUAGCGUUUUCCGUCACGUAUCUUGUUCUGGAGGUAGCUCUGCAGAGUGGUCACUAACGGGCUCAGCCACAGUCAUAAAAUCUGAUUUUAAACCUAACCUUAACCACACUGCUAACCAUAAUGCCUGACCCUAACCUUAAAUUAAUACCAAAAAGCACAUUUUUGAUUUCAUGAAUUGUCACAAUAUAGCUAAAUUUGGACUUUGCAGCUGGCCUACCUACGGGGAACUUGCUGUUCUGCCUCCAGGACAAGACAUGAAAAUAGACAUCAACCUGCAUAAAACAGUGGUACAACGCCGGUGUUAAUGUUUCAGACUUCCAAACCAAUGAGUGUUGACUGGCCCUUGUCCUGGAUGAGGAAGAGCUGGCCCCAGUCAGUGCAGGCCGUCUUCACCCCGAAUACCACCAGGUAGCCCACAGACAGCAGCCACAGGUAGCGGGACAGGAUGAACUCUUUGAAGGUGGUCUCAUCACUGGGUGAGCCUGGUAAGGGAGAGAGGUUAAAGUCACACUAGCUCAUAGCUUAGAGAGUGGCUCCCGAGUGGCGCAGCAGUCUAAGGCACUGCAUCUCAGUGCUACAGGUGUCACUACAGACCCUGGUUUGAUUCCAGGCUGUAUCACAACCGACCGUGAUUGGGAGUCCCAUAGGGCAGCGCACAAUUGGCCCAGCGUCGUCCAGGUUAGGGUUUGACCGGGGUAGGCCGUAAUUUUAAAUAAGAAUUUGUUCUUAACGGACUUGCCUAGUUAAGUAAAGGUAAAAUAAAAUCUUGAACUCGUUCACACUAGCAGAGUGUCACUGAUUUUACACACAAUUUCACAUGCAGACAAUACUCAGAAAAGCAUGUGUUCAAAUGAAAACCUGUGCAUAUCACAUUCACACACAUUUUGAAAUGUUUCAACCACAGAACCAAAUGAGGUAAGCUCCAAGCUCUGACCUGCUUUGACCUUCUAGC